RNAcentral lists this ribosomal RNA (242 nucleotides) under uncultured bacterium. RNAcentral's name for it is "partial 16S ribosomal RNA". It matches the Rfam family "Bacterial small subunit ribosomal RNA", at positions 91 to 334 of the family's 1533-position model. The record is from RNAcentral.
CGGACCGGCGCACGGGUGCGUAACGCGUAUGCAACCUACCCAUAACAGGGGGAUAACACUGAGAAAUUGGUACUAAUACCCCAUAAUAUCAUAGAAGGCAUCUUUUAUGGUUGAAAAUUCCGAUGGUUAGAGAUGGGCAUGCGUUGUAUUAGCUAGUUGGUGGGGUAACGGCUCACCAAGGCGACGAUACAUAGGGGGACUGAGAGGUUAACCCCCCACACUGGUACUGAGACACGGACCAG